UACGUAGGGGGCAAGCGUUGUCCGGAUUCAUUGGGCGUAAAGCGCGUGUAGGCGGUCCGGUAAGUCCGCUGUGAAAGUCGAGGGCUCAACCCUCGAAUGCCGGUGGAUACUGUCGGGCUUGAGUACGGGAGAGGCGAGUGGAAUUCCUGGUGUAGCGGUGAAAUGCGCAGAUAUCAGGAGGAACACCGAUUGCGAAGGCAGCUCGCUGGAACGUUACUGACGCUGAGACGCGAAAGCGUGGGGAGCAAACAGG
RNAcentral lists this ribosomal RNA (253 nucleotides) under uncultured bacterium. Its description in RNAcentral is "partial 16S ribosomal RNA". It matches the Rfam family "Bacterial small subunit ribosomal RNA", at positions 524 to 776 of the family's 1533-position model. The record is from RNAcentral.